GACGAACGCUGGCGGCGUGCCUAAUACAUGCAAGUAGAACGCACAGUUUAUACCGUAGCUUGCUACACCAUAGACUGUGAGUUGCGAACGGGUGAGUAACGCGUAGGUAACCUGCCUGGUAGCGGGGGAUAACUAUUGGAAACGAUAGCUAAUACCGCAUAAUAUUGAUUAUUGCAUGAUAAUUGAUUUAAAGAUGCUAUUGCAUCACUACCAGAUGGACCUGCGUUGUAUUAGCUAGUAGGUGAGGUAACGGCUCACCUAGGCGACGAUACAUAGCCGACCUGGGAGGGUGAUCGGCUACCCUGGGACUGAGACACGGCCCAGACUCCUACGGGAGGCAGCAGUAGGGAAUCUUCGGCAAUGGACGAAAGUCUGACCGAGCAACGCCGCGUGAGUGAAGAAGGUUUUCGGAUCGUAAAGCUCUGUUGUAAGAGAAGAACGGGUGUGAGAGUGGAAAGUUCACACUGUGACGGUAUCUUACCAGAAAGGGACGGCUAACUACGUG
RNAcentral lists this ribosomal RNA (505 nucleotides) under uncultured bacterium. Its description in RNAcentral is "partial 16S ribosomal RNA". It matches the Rfam family "Bacterial small subunit ribosomal RNA", at positions 28 to 507 of the family's 1533-position model. The record is from RNAcentral.